This 349-nucleotide ribosomal RNA is filed under the name uncultured bacterium. RNAcentral describes it as "partial 16S ribosomal RNA". It matches the Rfam family "Bacterial small subunit ribosomal RNA", at positions 338 to 698 of the family's 1533-position model. The record is from RNAcentral.
CCUACGGGUGGCAGCAGUCGAGAAUCUUUCACAAUGGAGGAAACUCUGAUGCUGCGACGCCGCGUGCGGGAAUGAAGGUCUUCGAAUUGUAAACCCCUUUCAUGUGGGGGCAAAUCAAAAAGAUAGUACCACAAGAGGAAGAGACUGCUAACUCGGUUCCAGCAGCGGCGGGAAUACAGAGGUUUCAAGCGUUGUUCGGAAUCACUUGGCGUAAAGGGUGCGUAGGCGGUUUCGGAAGUCGUGUGUGAAAGGCGCGGGCUCAACCCGGGGACGGCACAUGAUACUGGGAGACUAGAGUAUUGGAGGGGGAGGCGGAAGUUACGGUGUAGCAGUGAAAUGCAUAGAGAUC